Arvicanthis niloticus (Nile rat) is the source of this 482-nucleotide non-coding RNA. NCBI's taxonomy places the organism in Eukaryota, Metazoa, Chordata, Mammalia, Rodentia, Muridae. The record is from RefSeq and is a predicted model, not a curated record.
ACCCAGGUUGUGGGCACCAGAACAGUGGUCUGAGGAACAGGGGCCAGUUCUGCUCACAACCCAUCUUCCAGCAAUUGACAGAGACGAGCUUGAAGAAGGGCUACUCUCCACAGAGCCUGUGGGCUAGCCUACUACCCUAAUGAAGGUGAAGACCCCAGUUUGGCUCCUCUGAGCUGCCCCACCCUGUUGGCAGAGACACAUGUGUAAUGUCAACUCUCCUCACCUGAGUAUAGGUUGACUGGAGUCGGUGGAAGAGAGCAGAGUCUGGUACGAGACCAUGCGUGUAUAGAGGGCGGGAGGAAGGGCUCCCCGGGAACUAGCGUACCGAGGAUGAGCUGAAGGAUGUGUAAGAUGGUUGGAUCCCUAUCUCACACUACUCACAAAAACAUAGUCCAGGUGGAGGGAUGGCUUUGCAGAGAACAUGCGGACCUAACUGCAAAGAAAACGAAACAUGAUAUUUUAAUAAAACUAUGUUGGGGAAA